GCGGCGUCUGCCGGAGGAGAGCCAUACUGACUUAGUAUCGGUUUAUUUACAGACGACUCGCAGUGCUUUGUGGACGUUCGCCUCAUUGACUUUGCUCACACAGCGUUUGUGCCACGCAAUGGCAGCAUGCUACCCACUCCGCCCGUGGCCCCCUUCACCAUGGACCCGACGGCGGCUUUCUCACCGGCCUGGACAGCCUUAAUCGACUGCUCAACGAGAUACUGGCAGAGGACAGGAUCUAGACAGAGUUCGGUGAAAAGAAGUGAAAAGAAACAGGGAGUGGAAACUAGAGCGGAGAAAGGAACACAAGUUAAAAGUACAAUUUAAUUUCAAAAUACCUAAAUUGUUGUAGCAACAUGUGUUAAAUUAUGAAAC
Molecule: long non-coding RNA, 375 nt
Organism: Drosophila miranda
Lineage: Eukaryota; Metazoa; Arthropoda; Insecta; Diptera; Drosophilidae
Exons: 2
Source: RefSeq, a predicted model, not a curated record